UACGUAGGGUGCAAGCGUUGUUCGGAAUUACUGGGCGUAAAGGGCGCGUAGGCGGCGACUCAAGUUAGAUGUGAAAGUCCUGGGCUUAACCUGGGGACUGCAUUUGAUACUGGGUUGCUUGAAUUCGGGAGAGGAUAGCGGAAUUCCCAGUGUAGAGGUGAAAUUCGUAGAUAUUGGGAAGAACACCGGUGGCGAAGGCGGCUAUCUGGACCGACAUUGACGCUGAGGCGCGAAAGCGUGGGGAGCAAACAGG
RNAcentral lists this ribosomal RNA (253 nucleotides) under uncultured bacterium. RNAcentral's name for it is "partial 16S ribosomal RNA". It matches the Rfam family "Bacterial small subunit ribosomal RNA", at positions 524 to 776 of the family's 1533-position model. The record is from RNAcentral.